AGGGAGGCGGAGGAUGAAAUUGACAGUUAUUUCCUUUCCCUGCAGGCCCAGGCACCCAAGGAAGAAGCAGCCCAGGGAGUGCCCUCCACAGCAGAGUGGCAGACAGUCACAGCCAGGACCAGAGCAGCUCGCAGCGAACCGGUACCAGCUUCUCCAGUCCGACAAGUGAACAGAUCAAGAGAUCCACGAGGACCCAGAGGAGGAGGCGACGAGUGCUCAUCAUAGGCGACUCCAUCCUGAGAGGUACGGAAGGACCCAUCUGUCGCCAGGACCCCUCGGCACGAGAGUGACCGGACGAGGAAGACGACAGGAGAACUGCAUCCGAGAAACCAACUGGCAGCUUCGGCAGUGGUGUCUCAAGGCAGGCUUCGGCUUCCUGGACAACGACCCGCACAUCACGACGAGGGACAUGCUCAGCUGGGAUGGGCUUCACCUGUCCCCCAAAGGACAGCCCAGCCUGAAGAAGGAGAACAUUGGAAACCUGAAAGCCAUGGGGAGACCAGCACUACAGAACAGCUAACCUUCUCUGAAGGUCAUUCUGCUAUCUACCACCUGUGGAUGCACUGGGUAGCAGCACAACUCUGCCACCAGGUAUAUAUAUUCUGCUAAAAAAAAUCCAUGUCAUGAAUCCAGCCUGAAGGUUUGGUGAUCAGCAAUUUGCCUGAUGAUGUGUGGAGAGGUGAAUGGAUUUUCAAGUGAAAAUGGAAUGCAUCAAAUGAAAGACUGCAACUUAGUGGGGACAUCUACGUGUGCAAUUAACUUGAAGCAGCAAAGUCUGGAGUAGGUUGAGCUGGAGUAAACUACUUCCGGGCACAGCAUCUACAUGUGCACCUGGAACAGCAGCAAUUUGAUCCAGGGUGGAGCAGUUUACACUAGGGCUGAAGACGCAGGGAGGAGGAGGUGAGCUUUGGGCUCUGAGUAGUGGCAUUAGGCAGCGGAGAGGCUGGCUGGGGCAUGAGGGUGCUGAAAGUGCAGAGCCAUGUAGCUAGGCAGCUGGCAGGAGUCUGGCCAUCAGAUGGCUGGGCUGACUGGGCACAAUUUACACCCAUGGUCAGCAUCUACACAUGUAUUUAAUCACAGUUAAUUAAUUCCAACAGUACUAUCUUACAGUACUAUCUUAGGGUGGCAUUAGUUUACUGUGACAUAAUAGCAUCACAGAUGUUGAUGAUGACGCUUUACUCCUCAGUAAAUUAGUCUACUCCAUAGUUAAGUGAACGUGUAGACAUGGCCAUUGUGGUAUUUUAAAGACCCUUUUACCUCUCUGUCACUGUCUAAUUUAUAAAAUCAUGUGGCAGAUACAGCUGAUUAGAGAGCAAAGUAAUGGUCAAAAAGUAUUUACCAUGUUUUUAGCUAUUAUUUAACAACUGAAUAUUGGGAAGAUCUAUUUGAUUGGUAAACUCUCUACAGAAAAUAGUUUGCAAAUGUCUGCCCUAAAUGGUUGAUUGAUUAUGUCAACCUUUUCUGUUUAAUGUCUAUCCAUUAUGCAGUAUCAGCCAUAUUUCCUAAAAGCAUACAUAAUUGUGCAUUUUCCAUAAGACCAUUUGAACAUCUGACCCAGUCUCCCUCCUGUAUGUUGUGACUACACAUGCAUUGCAUUCAGGAUCUUUAUAUAUCAAAUACCAUCCAUUUUAGUAUGAGUUGACGCUUACAGUUUAGUGUAUAGAUCAAAAAUAGCAUAUGAAACAUUAUAUGCUAUUCAAACUGGAUAUUCAGUGGCCUCUUGAGCUUCAAAAUUGCAUUUUACCUUAUGAAUGUUUCUGUUAAUCCUCUCUAGAACUGCAGUAGGAAAGCUGAGACUAGAAGGAGAAUGUGGGUUCUUACUUUAUAUCAUUGUAUGACUGUGUAUAGUCUCGUAAUAAAUAUCUAAUUUGAAUAAAAAACUUAAAACCUGAAUACUUUUUAGGGAGGAGAGAGGAAAGGGAGAUCUUAAAAGCAUUUGGGACUUUUUUUUUCUUUUGAAUAACCCCGUAUCUUAACACUCCUGCACUCCUGAGUUCAUCUGGCAAAGGUGGCAUUAGGAGUUCUUUGGGGCACAGGCAGCCUUAGUUGCUUUUGCAUGAUAUUUUAGAGCUGUGUGAAUAUUUGAUUUUUUUAAUUGUAUCUGUUUUUUCUUUAUCUAUUUCUUUUGGUUUGCUGACAAUUCUGAAAUUAAAACCCCUUUCCUGAAAUCUUAAAACGUUUUACCUGGAAUGUGUUGAAACAAAACUUUGUGGCUUUUUCCAUAUUUUUAAAUGUAAAAAAUUCAGCACACCAGAUAUGUUUGUGAAGUGUGUUAGUGUUAUCGGUUCUGAUUUUUUGAUAGAAAAGAAUGACCAACAUCUUUUUGCUCAGCUUCACAGUAUCUCACACAAGGGACCUUUUCUCCAUAUAUAAAAAUAAAUAACAGGGUGAACAAAAUACUAUCGGAAGUCUCAGGGAGGCCUUAUCUCAUGGAUAUUCAAAGCAGUGAGUUUCACAUGGGUUCAGCAAGUGUUGAACCUUUAACAAGCUUUCUUCAUUGGCAUAUUUUUGAGUGCCUUUUUAGAACUAAAUUAUAGCUUCUGAGACAGCUGCCAUGCCCUCUUUUCUGGUGGUAUGCUAUGGUAUAGCUGGUGAUUUAUGAGUUAAAGACAGCCAAGCUAAUCAAAGCCAUCUAUCUAUCCCUAUCUAGUAUUUCUCUUUCACUUACCCUGGAAUAGGAUUGCAGUAAUCUCAUUGUUUUAAGACUACCUACUUGACCAGCUCUUUAGGUGAGCAUUCAUCAGAUAAUACUAGCAAAAAGUGAACAUCUUUUUAACCACUUAUGUUUGCAAAGGUAAUUCCCAAAAUAGUGACUAAUAAAGAUGUCUAUAUGCAUACCAUAGGUUAGAUGCUCAGCUGCUAUAAGCAAGUGUAGCUCUAUUGAUUUCAAGAGUUAUCCCUCUUUACCUAAGCUGGUCCCUUUGCUGAGGAACCUUUUUCAACAAAGAUAUAUGGAAAGGACAGUCCCAGAAUGCAAGGUGCAAACAUCAGAGUUCCUUGUAGAUCAGG
Alligator mississippiensis (American alligator) is the source of this 3009-nucleotide long non-coding RNA. RefSeq lists it as uncharacterized. The transcript has 5 exons. The record is from RefSeq and is a predicted model, not a curated record. Lineage: Eukaryota; Metazoa; Chordata; Crocodylia; Alligatoridae.